Molecule: long non-coding RNA, 2883 nt
Filed under: Heterocephalus glaber (naked mole-rat)
Lineage: Eukaryota; Metazoa; Chordata; Mammalia; Rodentia; Bathyergidae
Description: lncRNA (ENSHGLG00100041376.1)
Source: RNAcentral
AGUCUCUCUGCCCUUAUAGCAGCCUGUCCACUGUCCUCACAGCAGGGGAGAGCUGAUCAAUGCUCCUUCAUGCUGUGCUCAUUGCCCUGUCCUUAGGGUGGUCUGAGAAUCCCAUCCCCCCCCCCCUUUUUCCAGAGACAGAACAUAGUCUAGACUCACCGGGCAGGAGGAAGUCAGAAAACCCUGUUCUUUAUUUUUUUAAAUUAAGUUUACUGGUACAUUUUAGGUAUACAAUACAGUUACAUUCAUCAUUGGGAUCUUGUACCUUUACAUGAUGUAUCUUGGUUCUUAUUCUUUUCCGAUUCCUCUGCCCUCCCUUCACCCCCUCAAAUCUUCCCUAUUUACAAAGACUUUGUUUCCAUAUUUUUCCUUCUCUAGUAGUUCUGAUCCUUGCUUCACUGAUGGUUUUUCUAGGGCAUGGGGGCAUGGAAACAUCACUUGGUUGCAUGAGCUGCUCAUUCUGUUUUGCAGAAACAGUAAUAUAUUUGGUUUCCCACUUACCUGCCAGAGUGGGUUAGAAUGAAUGAGACUAGAUCUGUCUGGAGAAAGAGGUUAUUUGGACAUCCAGUCUGGUUUCCUCAAAUAGGGCAGCAGAAAGUUGCCAGGGCUCCCCCAAAGGCCAGGCGAGCCCAGGAGACUGGAGCAUUACGCUUUACUCAGACAGUGGAGACCACGCCUGUCUCCCCAAACAGCCCUGUGUGUGUCUGCCUUGAUGAUGCAUUUGUGCCGGUCGGGGAGUUGGACCUGCAGCAGAAGCAAAUGGUUGCCAGUCACCACUUUCCAUACAGAGCAUCAGCCAUGCAGGCUUCUGACUCACACUACACUCACCUGCACUCCGAGACUCGGGCACAGGGAGCUCCGGCUUCCCAGUGUGCUUCCCUUAGUAAUUACAGAGGCCCCCAACACUGCAGCUCACACAGAGCCUGGCCUUUGUGGCUGGAGUCGGACCCCAACACUCUGCUCCCCAAUCGCAUGCCCAGGGUGUGCACUGCCUUCUCUCAUUCUCCUCCCACUGAGGCACUUCCCAGCUGAGUUCUGCCUUGCCAUGCCCCACAUCUCCCACAAGGGGGAGCCCCCGGAGGGCAACUGGGGCUGAGGAAUUUUGGAAGCGCUGAAGUUUUCGACUCCUGUCCUGCAACUGGUUUUCACUCACCCAACGGUGAGAUUUCUUUGUUGCAGUGUUGGAGUCUGAGAUAACACUGCCGGAAGCUGCAGGCGAGAACCUUAGCUCAUUCUAUCUUUUAUUGUGUGUUGUUGUUUACCAGCAUUCUAAACUAAGAAGGAAAAGUAAUAAAGACAUGCAGGACUCACAGGCCCUGGAUGAAGACUGCCAGCCUCAGACAGAACCAGCACGUCUGAGGGACAACCAGGAGGUGCCUUUGGCUGUGGAGCUCAGGAUAUGAAUCAGAGAGAAAGAACUGAAGACUUGUCCCAGGAAGAAAGGGGAGGACUGGCAGUAGAUUUUUCACUGGUUUGUCUUUGGAAAAGACUGAGAAGAACUGUUCAAGGUGAAAUGAAGAUAUAGAAGAAACAACCGUGAUCUGUUUAGUUGUGAAUGGGCUCUUGUUGGAAGACAGAGGACUGAGUCCCAUAUCUUCAACUUUUAUAUUUGGAGAUACUAAAGUACAGUUUUGCUCAGUUACCCAGCAAGUGCUUCUUGGUCACCCUUGGGUCUACUAGGUGCUGGAAGGACAUUCCAAUGGCAAGUGCUAUAUCCUGGAAACCUCUUCAGUCCUAGGAAAAUUCAAGGAGAUUGGUCACCCUAAUACCUGCUGUUUUACUGUGUUCGCCACAUAGGCAAUAGAUAUAAAGACACCAGUGAAUUAUUUGAAGAUAUGGGUCUACAAGAUGGAUGCAGAUUUAAAAAAUAAGAUUCCUAAGAAGUUACCUUUUUCAGCUCCCACUCUGUUCUCCAGGAGACACAGGGGCAGGAAGAACAUAGCAUGCUCAUUAACGCUGAUGACCCUGACCUGACUGGAACCCAAGAUGGCGUGUUGGCCAGCAGCGUGGAAUCAGUGGAUUCUUCAAUGGAGACAGGUCGAAUUGUGUCACAUCCAGGAAGUCACUUCUGUGAAUGAUAAUUCUAUAGUGUUUCACUGCUUGUGCACUUUCCUCAUGUUCAUGUUCUCAGAGAUAUGAAAUGGCACAAGUCAUUUUGGUCUUCAACUGUGGCAGCUACUUUUCCAGGUCUUCACGUGCCAGCCCCUCAGCUGAUCUCCCACUUCACUGGUGAUAUAUUACUCCAGAACAUCUUCAUCCCUACAAAGAAAGUUAACCAGGAUUGUCAUACAAUUGAAAUGGGCCAAUAAUUCUGAGUGAGGCUCCAAGGAGAAAGGCAGCUGGGUGUUGUGGAGAGAUCGAGAUAGCUGCUUGGAACAUUCUAAAGUGUUCUCUAGUAUUAGAUUAGAUGCGGUAAUGCUAGAGUAUUUAGGUAUUCUAAAGUAUCUCCAGCUCAGCCUCCAGAAAGCUGAAGUUGAAGAAAUACUGGUCUCUGGAUGAGAGAGCCGCUGCUGUCUUCACACUGGAGAUUAUUAGCUCCCAAGUUACCUCCUAAUUUAGGGAUAGAAAACAAGAGUAUCAUUCUGGAAAGUGGAGAUAUGAUAGACAUUCCUGAAAUCAACCUGAUAAAAUAAAAAAAAUUACAUAAUGUAACAGUAUAAAAAAUAAAGAUAUCCUACUCCUGUCCUGCAUGCCUUCUCCAAAAUACACAUGUAUAUUGUUAAUUUCCCUGAAGGUCAUUUUCUUACAUCAGAGUAAAGUGGUUUUUCACUCCACCACACUGUGAUUCCUGUCAUUUUUCAGAGCUUCUGAGUUCUGUCCCCAGUGAGUAACAAAACAGAGCCCAGAAGAGCCAACCACUGAAGAGUAAGUCACAUGCACAGC